Molecule: ribosomal RNA, 447 nt
Filed under: uncultured bacterium
Lineage: Bacteria
Description: bacterial SSU rRNA
Rfam family: Bacterial small subunit ribosomal RNA
Source: RNAcentral
UGGGGAAUAUUGGACAAUGGGCGCAAGCCUGAUCCAGCCAUGCCGCGUGAACGAUGAAGGCCUUAGGGUUGUAAAGUUCUUUUGUCAGGGAAGAUAAUGACGGUACCUGAAGAAUAAGCACCGGCUAACUUCGUGCCAGCAGCCGCGGUAAUACGAAGGGUGCUAGCGUUGUUCGGAAUCACUGGGCGUAAAGCGCGCGUAGGCGGCGAUAUAAGUCAGAGGUGAAAGCCUGGAGCUCAACUCCAGAACUGCCUUUGAAACUAUAUUGCUAGAGUGUCGGAGGGGAUAGCGGAAUUGCUAAUGUAGAGGUGAAAUUCGUAGAUAUUAGCAGGAACACCGGUGGCGAAGGCGGCUAUCUGGACGACAACUGACGCUGAGGCGCGAAAGCGUGGGGAUCAAACAGGAUUAGAUACCCUCGUAGUCCCUGAGCGGGCUGGCAAGGCGCAU